CAAAAACAUGUCCUUUUGUGAAUGAUUUAAGGUCAGGCCUGCCCAAUGAUUAUUUUGAAUGGCCGCAGUAUUUUGACUGUGCAAAGGUAGCAUAAUCAUUAGUUUCUUAAUUAGAAGCUGGUAUGAAUGGUUUGAUGAAAAAUUAACUGUCUCAGUUUAAGUGAUUUUGAAUUUUAUUAUUAAGUGAGAAAGCUUAAAUUUUUUAUAAAGACGAGAAGACCCUAUAGAGUUUUAUAAUUAUUUUUGUUAAUUUUAUUAGGUUUAUUUUUAUUUUAAUAAUGAUAAUUAUUUUGUUGGGGUGACAUUAAAAUUUAAUAAACUUUUAUUUUGAAUAACAUUAAUUUAUGAAUAAUUGAUCCUGAAGUUUAGAUUAAAAGAAAAAAUUACCUUAGGGAUAACAGCGUAAUUUUUUUGUAAAGUUCUUAUUGAUAAAAAAGUUUGCGACCUCGAUGUUGGAUUAAAAUUUAGUUUGGGUGUAGGAGCUUGAAUAUUAGGUCUGUUCGACCUUUAAAAUUUUACAUGAUCU
RNAcentral lists this ribosomal RNA (526 nucleotides) under Callismilax sulcipennis. RNAcentral describes it as "partial 16S ribosomal RNA". It matches the Rfam family "Bacterial large subunit ribosomal RNA", at positions 1808 to 2606 of the family's 2925-position model. Lineage: Eukaryota; Metazoa; Arthropoda; Insecta; Coleoptera; Tenebrionidae. The record is from RNAcentral.